Non-coding RNA from Manis javanica (Malayan pangolin), 355 nucleotides. Lineage: Eukaryota; Metazoa; Chordata; Mammalia; Pholidota; Manidae. The record is from RefSeq and is a predicted model, not a curated record.
CCUGAUCUGACUUACACACAGUGCUCCUCCUGGCAGUGCCCUCCUGCUCCUCGAGAGUCAGCUAUGCCGAGUUGCUAGCUUCCAUUACUUUAUAAGGUGCUGGUUGGAUGCCAGAGAAGCUCAGUGAAUCAUUACGAUGAAGAAAGCUGAUGUCUGAAGAGGAAAGUGGAACACAAUGGCUGUAUGUCAUCAUUCCCAAUCCCUGCCCUUGUCACAGCAGCAGAAAGCAUCAACUCCAACAAAGAGUGGGAAUGAGGAAGCUGCUUUUACUGAUGAAGUCAAACUUUAAGCCACAGAAAUGAAAACAUACACCACUGGAACAAGAAAGCAGACAUAUUCAAUUGCAGUUCAGGGC